CGGAUGGAUUUCGGACGGCCUCCUGCAAGAACCGGACUCCGUCCGAACUUCCACAGUGGACAAAUUUUGGAUGAGCUUCUGCAAGAACCGGACUCCGUCCGAACUUCCACAGUGGAUGGAUUCUGGACAAGCUUCUGCAAGUACAGGACUCCAUUCGAACUUCCACAGCGGAUGGAUUUCGGACGAGCUUUUGCAACAGACGGGCUCCAGCAGCCGGAUUUCUACAACGGUCAAUCGCCCCUGGAUCCCUCAGACUCCUCCAGC
RNAcentral lists this long non-coding RNA (264 nucleotides) under Elaeis guineensis (African oil palm). Its description in RNAcentral is "long non-coding RNA (EGUI_LNC075538)". Lineage: Eukaryota; Viridiplantae; Streptophyta; Magnoliopsida; Arecales; Arecaceae. The record is from RNAcentral.